Molecule: ribosomal RNA, 801 nt
Filed under: uncultured bacterium
Lineage: Bacteria
Description: bacterial SSU rRNA
Rfam family: Bacterial small subunit ribosomal RNA
Source: RNAcentral
GAAUUCGCCCUUAGAGUUUGAUUCUGGCUCAGGAUGAACGCUGGCGGCGUGCCUAACACAUGCAAGUCGAGCGAGAACCGAAAAGACAGAAGCUUCGGCCGAAGGAUUUUUGGGGAAAGCGGCGGACGGGUGAGUAACGCGUAGGUAACCUGCCCUAUACACGGGGAUAGCCACUGGAAACGGUGAUUAAUACCCGAUAGUCUCUUGUAACGCAUGUUAUGAGAGGGAAAGAUUUAUCGGUAUGGGAUGGACCUGCGUCUGAUUAGCUAGUUGGUGGGGUAAUGGCCUACCAAGGCAACGAUCAGUAGCCGACCUUAGAGGGUGAUCGGCCACACUGGGACUGAGAACGGCCCAGACUCCUACGGGAGGCAGCAGUGGGGAAUAUUGCACAAUGGAGGGAACUCUGAUGCAGCAACGCCGCGUGAGUGAUGAAAUAUUUCGAUAUGUAAAGCUCUGUUCUAGGGGAAGAAAAUGACGGUACCCUAGCAGCAAGCCCCGGCUAACUACGUGCCAGCAGCCGCGGUAAUACGUAGGGGGCAAGCGUUAUCCGGAAUUAUUGGGCGUAAAGCGUACGCAGGCGGCCAAAAAGGUCAGAGGUGAAAGACAGGGGCUCAACCCCUGCGAGCCUUUGAAACCAUUUGGCUUGAGCAUAGGAGGGGAAAGUGGAAUUUCUAGUGUAGCGGUGAAAUGCGUAGAUAUUAGAAGGAACACCGGUGGCGAAGGCGACUUUCUGGACUAUGUCUGACGCUGAGGUACGAAAGCGUGGGUAGCGAACAGGAUUAGAUACCCUGGUAGUCCACG